GCUCCGGUAGUGUAGUCCGGCCAAGCAUCGCGGACUUUCGAUUCGCAGACCCGGGUUCGAAUCCCGGCCGGAGCACCA
This 78-nucleotide transfer RNA is filed under the name Candidatus Thorarchaeota archaeon. Its description in RNAcentral is "tRNA-Glu". It matches the Rfam family "tRNA". Rfam says of the family: Transfer RNA (tRNA) molecules are approximately 80 nucleotides in length. Their secondary structure includes four short double-helical elements and three loops (D, anti-codon, and T loops). RNAcentral also lists the same sequence under 2 other names. The record is from RNAcentral. Lineage: Archaea; Promethearchaeati; Candidatus Thorarchaeota.